GCGCUGGCGGAGCCUAGUGGAGGCGCUGAUGGAUGCAACGAAGAAAGGUGCUGCUAACGGAGAGUAGCGGAAGUGUGCCGCUGAUGGAUCUUAGCGGAACCACCGAGGCAUAGCGGGGCUAGCCAUUGCUGUGGGUUCUGGCGACCGUUUACCGCUGCAGCCUGCCGCCGAAGGUUUACGCUGGUGGUUUGCUGCUGCCUGGUGUGCUAGCGCUGGGCAAAGCUCUUACUUGGUGCGGUGCUGCUGGCUGGAGGCCGCUAGUCUUGCUGCCAUUGAUGAAGUUUAGCAGAGGUUCUCAAUGGUUGCCGCUGACGAAGCUCGGCGGAGGAGUUUUUUGGUGGAGUUGCUCAGACGAACUUGGCCUGCGGAGCCUCUGUCUAGCGGUACUCUUGGUGGAGUUUAUUGACGACAAAUGACAGCUAGUGGAGGCUUAGAGUUCAGCGGAGGCUUCGUGCUCAGAGGAGGCUCGACAUGUGAGGUCAGCGGAGACCCAAAGAUCAGCGGGGACAGCAGACGUAGAGUUCGGCGGAGCUCCAAAGAAGGUUGCUUUGAUCAAAUGUUGGGUGUUGAAGCUCGGCGGAUACUCAAAGUGCGGCGGAGACGCUGAGUUAAGCGGAGGCUUUGAAGUCAGUGAAUCCUUAGAGUUUGUCAGCGGAGCUAUGCCGGCGGAGCACUGUGUAGAGGAAGAAGCUUUGCCAGCGGUAUUCUUAGCGGAGCGGUGAAUCCUUAGCUGGCGGAGCUCGUAGGAGCUGCGGUCGCUGGCGGGUCCUCGGAGCUACAGUUGGGCGGAGGAGCGCAGCGGACGUUGCCAGCGAGUUGGGCGGAAGAGAGCCUAGCGGCGUUGUCUGGCGGAGCGGAGAGCAACGAAGAAGUGGGGUGUCCAGAUGAAUUCGCUGGGUGUCCAUAGAGGUUUUGCCGC
This 919-nucleotide long non-coding RNA is filed under the name Rosa chinensis. RNAcentral's name for it is "sRNA RchiOBHm_Chr4g0445831". The record is from RNAcentral. Lineage: Eukaryota; Viridiplantae; Streptophyta; Magnoliopsida; Rosales; Rosaceae.